UUGAUUUUUAAUUAUUUGUGGAGGUACUACUAAUUAACAACAAUUCUAUAAUCAAAACAAAAAAAAAUCA
This 70-nucleotide unclassified non-coding RNA is filed under the name soil metagenome. RNAcentral's name for it is "partial internal transcribed spacer 1". The record is from RNAcentral.